GAUCCUGGCUCAGGAUGAACGCUAGCGACAGGCUUAACACAUGCAAGUCGAGGGGCAGCAUAAAAGUAGCAAUACUUGGUGGCGACCGGCGCACGGGUGAGUAACGCGUAUGCAACCUACCUAUCGAGAGGGGAAUAACCCGGCGAAAGUCGGACUAAUACCGCGUAAAACAGGGGCACCGCAUGGUGAUAUUUGUUAAAGAAAUUCGCUGAUAGAUGGGCAUGCGUUCCAUUAGGUAGUUGGUGAGGUAACGGCUCACCAAGCCGACGAUGGAUAGGGGAACUGAGAGGUUGGUCCCCCACACUGGUACUGAGACACGGACCAGACUCCUACGGGAGGCAGCAGUGAGGAAUAUUGGUCAAUGGGCGGGAGCCUGAACCAGCCAAGUCGCCGUGAAGGAAGAAGGAUCUAUGGUUCGUAAACUUCUUUUGCAGGGGAAUAAAGUGCAGGACGUGUCCUGUUUUGUAUGUACCCUGAGAAUAAGGAUCGGCUAACUCCGUGCCAGCCGCGGC
This 512-nucleotide ribosomal RNA is filed under the name uncultured bacterium. RNAcentral describes it as "bacterial SSU rRNA". It matches the Rfam family "Bacterial small subunit ribosomal RNA", at positions 15 to 518 of the family's 1533-position model. The record is from RNAcentral.